Molecule: long non-coding RNA, 3138 nt
Organism: Oncorhynchus tshawytscha (Chinook salmon)
Lineage: Eukaryota; Metazoa; Chordata; Actinopteri; Salmoniformes; Salmonidae
Source: Ensembl
AGAGAGAGAAGAGAGAGAGAGAGAGCGAGGGAGAGAGGGAAGAGAGAGAGAGAGAGAGAGAGAGAGAGAGAGAGAGAGAGAGAGAGAGUUAGAGGGAAGAGAGAGAGAGAGAGAGCUCUAGGCAAGAGAGCUAGAGGGAAGAGAGAGAGAGAGAGAGAGAGAGGGAAGAGAGCUAGAGGGAAGAGAGAGAGAGUGAGGUAAGAGAAAUAGAGAGAGAGAGAGAGGGAAGAGAGAGAGCGAGAGGGAAGAGAGAGAGAGAGUGAGGUAAGAGAGAGAGAGAGAGCGAGAGGGAAGAGAGAGAAGAGGGAAAAUAAAGAAGAGUUGUGCAGCAUCACCACUAUCAAACUGCCCCCCGAGAGCCUCCUUUCUGACUGCUGAUGCAAAGUGGCAGCACACGGUGAAGGCUCCGUAUAAAACUACACAUGUUGGUGAAUCUGGGAACAUUUAUCAGCCCUUUUCCUGACAUAACUAAUGAUGCAUUACUAAAUGUCACAGAUAACUAAUGAUGCAUUACUAAAUGUUACAGAUAACUAAUGAUGCAUUACUAAAUGUCACACAUAGAUAAUGUGAAUGUUUCUAAUAUUAAAUACUUUUACAUACAACCAAAUCAUAUUAUGUAAAUGUACAACUACUUCAUAUAUCUUUAUCUAUGACUGGUUUCAUGUGUUCAUCCAUGUCUGAAUCAGCUGUUUACUGUCCUUGUUGCAGUUUCUAUACAGACUGGUCUGAUUCCUCAAAGCAGAUCAAGUUCCUGGUGGAUCUCCUGUCUCAAGCAGCAGAGUGGGAGGAGCAGACAGGAGAGAAGACACUGAAGCUGGUAUCAUCAGUGUGGACUUACAGCACCUUUCCCUUCUGUGAUGAUGAUGAUGAUGAUGAUGGUGACGAUAAUAAGGAAUAUCAAUGUGAUUUCCUGCUGGAUCUGUACUCACAUGUGAAGGACUCUGAGACUCAAACAGGCAGGAGUUUCCUACCAGCAUUACAGCCAGUUUACCAGUCAGCUCCUGCAGUCUGGUCCAUAGACCUCUCAGAGAGAAAGGCCUCCCUCCUCCUAGAAGUGCUGAAACUCCAACCAGAGAAGAAACCAGUAGAGCUGAAGGACUGGUCAGAUGAAGAGAGUGAAGUGAGGAGUUUCCUUCAGUGUCUGUCCUACAUCUCACAGCUGAGCUGUGGUGAUGACAGGUUCUUCCAGACUGUGUGUGAAUCCAUCCCUGUGAGGUCCAGAGAGGAGGACCAGCAGUUGGCCUCUCUCCUCCAGGCCUUGGGCUCCACCCUGUCACUGGGAGGAGUGUUACCCAGGAAAACCUGCAGGUCUGUGGGGAGAGUCCUGGGUCUCUGUGCCUCCAGAGUGGACCUCACUCUCACCCCCAGCAAGAUCUCUCUCCAAGGAGCCGCACUUCUUUUGAGACAUAAGUCAAAGCUCCACAAGCUCAGGCUGAAUGUGGGCGUGGCAGUGAAACUGUCCAGACUGGUUAGGAGGACAGGGAGAGGUGCUACUCCACUGACUGUCCCAGAACUCUCCCUGGUCCUAAAGAGCAGCCAGCCACCAGAGAGAGUGUUAUCCAGGGCUCUGAGUAGUGUGGCGUCCCUGCUGAGAAUCUGGAGGGUUCAGUGUCUGGACCUGACUGACUUCUGCAUCCAGGGUCACUCUCUCAUCACACUGCUGUGUCACCAGGGACCUCUCUCUCUCAGACUAAACUCAGACACUCUGCAGCAGCUGACUGUAGUUGUGUAUGAAGCUCAGGACAAGGACUUGACUCAGUGGUUCCUGGAGAAGGUUGGUGGAGACCUGACCUCCUGCAGGCUGGACUGGGAAGUGCUUCUCUCUCUGCUGCAGCAUUCAACCCACAACAUCACUGUGGACCUCAGGAAGAACCGGCUCCUAGAGAAGAACAGCUCACAUCUUCUCCCCUUUCUGGGAAGGGUUACUCUCAAGAGGUCCAGUUCCAGCUUUGUAAAGUCCUCCAUCAGACAGAUCUAUGACAGUAGAGCCAGUGACUGUGUGUCCAGUUUGUUGAGGUCUUCAGACCAUUGGAUCAACCUGAACAGCAGAGAGCUGGACAGAGUGGACUGUACCGCUCUGUGUUUUACCCUGCAGCACAGCCACCAAGUCAAAGUCAACCUGCUGUGGACCUCCAUACCACCGGGGGAGAUAGAGAGCAUCCUGCCUCUUCUGGACAGAGUCUCCCAACUCAGUGUUGACAGGAGGUUACUGCUGAGUUUCCUCCAGUGCUGUGCUGCCUCUCAGAUCCAGCAGGGGGCACCAUCAUCACCACCAACAGCAGUAUGGCUGCUCAGGUCUCUGCACCACAGACUGGACUUCUCCUGCUCCUCCUCUGUGGACCUGUCAGCUCAGGACCAGGGGGAGGCUCUGUGUCUGACCACUGACCAUUGCAAGGCCAUCAACUCUGUUCUGAAGCAGAACCAACUCGGCACCCAGCUGGUUCAGAACCAGGUCCAGAUCAUCCUAAGAGACUGUGAGGUGGAGGACAGAGCACUGAGGGAGCUGCUUCCCAUCCUGCAUAUUGUCAAGCUGAGUCCCAGCAAAGCUCUGCUACUUCAGCUGCUGGACCUUGUAUGUGAGGGGAUUGAAGAGGGGCUGCUAAGGCAUGCAGAGUCCCUAUGCAGAGCCCUGGAUGGGGAGCUGGACCUCAGUGAGACCAGGCUGGACCAGAAGGCCUGUGGAUCUCUGGCCCUGGUUCUGGAACACUCAGAGGGUCUGUCAGAACUGGACCUCAGCCACUGUCAACUCACAGACCACCAGCUACAGCCCCUGAUCACACACCUGCAUAAAGUACAAGUCCUGGACCUGAGCCACAAUGACAUCACUGAUGCUCUGACUGACAGAAUUCUCCAACUGGUCUCUACCAACACUUCAAUACACACCGUACGACUCUUCAACAACAGAAUCCAGGACAGAAGACCCUUCCUGACAGACAAGAGGUUUGAGAUCUGGUGAAACAACAUCAGGUCUUUGUCCAGGAAGAGAAGGCUGAAUCCAGGACAGAAGAUCCUUCCUGACAGACAAGAGGUUUGACAUCUGGUGAAACAACAUCAGGUCUUAGUUCAGGAAGAGAAGGCUGAAUCCAGGACAGAAGAUCCUUCCUGACAGACAAGAGGUUUGACAUCUGGUGAAACAAA